Molecule: ribosomal RNA, 253 nt
Filed under: uncultured bacterium
Lineage: Bacteria
Description: partial 16S ribosomal RNA
Rfam family: Bacterial small subunit ribosomal RNA
Source: RNAcentral
UACGAAGGACCCGAGCGUUAUCCGGAUUUAUUGGGUUUAAAGGGCGCGUAGGCGGAUUUUUAAGUCAGGGGUGAAAGCCUUCAGCUUAACUGAAGAAUUGCCAUUGAUACUGAUGAUCUUGAGUAUGAUUGAGGUGGGCGGAAUGUGUCAUGUAGCGGUGAAAUGCUUAGAUAUGACACAGAACACCGAUUGCGAAGGCAGCUCACUAAGCCAUAACUGACGCUGAUGCACGAAAGCGUGGGGAGCAAACAGG